This 297-nucleotide unclassified non-coding RNA is filed under the name Hevea brasiliensis (rubber tree). Lineage: Eukaryota; Viridiplantae; Streptophyta; Magnoliopsida; Malpighiales; Euphorbiaceae. The record is from RNAcentral.
GUUGGAAGCGGGAAUUUAUAUAAAUUGUAGAUUGUAGCGUUUUGAGAAAUAUUUUUGUGAUGUUUGUAUUUAGGAUAUAGAGUUGAAUAUUUUUUAUUAUAGAGUAGGUUGGAAUUAUUUUUUUUGUAGUAUUUGGAAGUGGAUAUUUGGAGCGUUUUUAGGUUUAUGGUGAAAAAGGAAAUAUUUUUUUAUAAAAAUUGGAUAGAAGUAUUUUUAGAAAUUUGUUUAUGUUGUAUUUAUUUAAUUAAUAAAGUUGAAUUUUUUUUUUGAUAGAGUAGUUUUGAAAUUUUUUUUUUU